Molecule: RNA transcript, 2314 nt
Organism: Quercus lobata
Lineage: Eukaryota; Viridiplantae; Streptophyta; Magnoliopsida; Fagales; Fagaceae
Gene name: myrcene synthase, chloroplastic-like
Exons: 8
Source: RefSeq, a predicted model, not a curated record
AAUAGCUUGACUUGGUUAUUGUGAAUUGGCUACUGCAAAUCUUUCUGGUCAACUGGUUCCACAACUUGGUCAGCUUUUAAAUCUGCAAUACUUCUUAUGCUUUAAAAAAUAAAAUCUUCGACCACCAGAAGAAUCUUCUAGAUGGCUUGCCAGAAGCCUUAUGAGAUUAUAUCAGCCACACAUUUAGAAUCACCGUCAAUUACUACCUUCUUCAGUCAAAAAGAAUCACCGUCAAUUAUGGAUUGAUUGUAUCCCUCUGAAUUCCUUGGAUAUUUUUCUUGUUCUUAUAUAAAGGAGUAUAUCUGAAGCAAAUGUUCCCAAGUAACCCAUUAGUUCCACCCAAAAACCAUAGUAAGCAACUAAGCUUCACAAUGGCUCUUAAACUACUUGCCUCACUCCCUAUAUACAAUUUCAGUAGAGUACUUGUAUCAUCUAAAGAUCCCAUCUCACUUGUAACAUCCAGGACAGAAAUGGCUACCUUCCUCGUCCUGUCAAAUGCAUGCCCGCCAACAAAGUUUCAAAUAGUCCUGAUAUUUUGCGGAGAUCAGCAAAUUACCAACCUUCCAUUUGGAACCAUGAUUACAUUGAGUCCCUAACGAAUGAAUAUGUGGGGGAAACGUGCACUAGACAAAUUAAUAUGUUGAAGGAACAAGUGAGGAUGAUGCUUCACAAAGUGGUGGACCCUCUAGAGCAACUUGAGCUGAUAGAAAUCUUACAAAGACUAGGAUUAUCUUAUCACUUUGAAGAAGAAAUGAAAAGAAUAUUAGAUGGUGUGUACAAUAAUGAUCAUAGUGGUGAUACAUGGAAAGUGGAGAAUUUGUAUGCCACAGCUCUUAAAUUUAGACUCCUAAGACAACAUGGAUAUAGUGUCUCUCAAGAAGUUUUCAAUAGUUUCAAGGAUGAGAGAGGGAGUUUCAAGGCAUGCCUUUGUGAGGAUACCAAGGGCAUGCUAUCCUUAUAUGAAGCCUCAUUCUUUUUGAUAGAAGGUGAAAAUAUCUUGGAAGAGGCAAGAGAUUUCUCAACCAAACAUCUAGAAGAAUACGUUAAGCAGAAUAAAGAAAAAAAUCUUGCUGCUAUAGUAAGCCAUUCCUUGGAGCUCCCACUGCAUUGGAGGAUGCUUAGGUUGGAAGCAAGAUGGUUCAUUGACAUAUAUAGACACAAUCAAGACAUGAACCCUAUCUUGCUUGAGUUUGCAGAAUUGGAUUUCAAUAUUGUACAACCAGCCCACCAAGCAGAUCUAAAACAAGUGUCAAGCUGGUGGAAGAGCACAGGCCUUGCAGAGAAUUUGAGUUUUGCGAGGGAUAGACUGGUGGAGAAUUUCUUUUGGACAGUGGGAGUAAUAUUUCAGCCUCAAUUUGGAUAUUGUAGGAGAAUGUCAACCAAGGUCAAUGCACUGAUAACAACAAUUGAUGAUGUUUAUGACGUAUAUGGAACUUUGGAUGAACUUGAGCUCUUCACCGAUGUUGUUGAAAGAUGGGAUAUCAAUGCAAUGGAUCAACUCCCAGAUUAUAUGAAGAUAUGUUUCCUUGCUCUACACAAUUUUGUUAAUGAAAUGGCUUUGGAUACUGUGAAGGAACAAAGAUUCCACAUCAUUGAAUACCUCAAAAAAGCGUGGGUAGAUUUAUGUAGAUCUUAUUUGUUGGAGGCAAAGUGGUACUACAACAGAUACACACCGAGUCUACAAGAAUACAUUGAGAAUGCAUGGAUUUCAAUAGCAGCACCAACUAUACUAGUGCAUGCUUAUUUUUUUGUCACAAAUCCAAUUACAAAGGAAGCCUUGGAUUGCCUAGAAGAGUACCCCAACAUAAUCCGUUGGUCAGCAAUAAUUUUACGACUUGCAGAUGAUCUUGGAACAUCUAUGGAUGAGUUAAAAAGAGGUGAUGUCCCAAAAGCAAUCCAGUGUUACAUGAAUGAAACUGGUGCAAGUGAAGAAGAUGCCCGUGAGUAUAUAAAGUAUUUGAUUAGUGCAACAUGGAAGAAGAUGAAUCAAGACCGGGUUGCGAGUUCUCCCUUCUCUCAAAUAUUUAUUGAAAUUGCAUUGAACCUUGCAAGGAUGGCCCAAUGCAUGUACCAGCACGGAGAUGGACAUGGUGCUGGGAACCACAAACUAAGGACCGAGUAUUGUCAUUACUUAUUCAGUCCAUUCCCCUAAACAAAGAUUUACAUUAUAUUAAUUAUUUAUAUGUAAGGAUGCAUGUAUGAAAAUUUUAACUUAACAAUUGUACUAUCCGAAAUUGUAGCCAUUUUUUUUUUUUUUUUUUUCCUUUCCUUUCACUUUGGACGAUAUAUUUCUUAAAGAACGUUUUUUUUCUCC